GUGAAAACAAUGAGCAUGUGAAACAACAAGAUAUACAGCAUAUAGGGAGUUCAACAGAGGAGGCACAUGUUGGCAAACUUGAGAUAGUAAAAAAGCUACACUGUAAUGUAUCACAGCACAACUCAACUCCUGUAGAGGCAGCAAAAGUCAUCUGAUUGUGCCCAACAGGUGAAGGAGCUUGGUGACCUUUCACCCCUCUGGGAUGGGCUCUGCCAUGAUGUCAUCAACCACUGCAACCCUCUCAUUGGUUAUCAGGAAAGACUCACCAUGCUCGACCAACCAAAAUUGCAUUGUUUUCACAGAUUUUAGAAGUAAUACUCCACACAAAAUGUAU
Molecule: long non-coding RNA, 334 nt
Organism: Thunnus maccoyii (southern bluefin tuna)
Lineage: Eukaryota; Metazoa; Chordata; Actinopteri; Scombriformes; Scombridae
Exons: 3
Source: RefSeq, a predicted model, not a curated record